This 422-nucleotide ribosomal RNA is filed under the name Eugerres lineatus (streaked mojrra). RNAcentral describes it as "partial 12S ribosomal RNA". It matches the Rfam family "Bacterial small subunit ribosomal RNA", at positions 773 to 1397 of the family's 1533-position model. The record is from RNAcentral. Lineage: Eukaryota; Metazoa; Chordata; Actinopteri; Gerreiformes; Gerreidae.
UGGGAUUAGAUACCCCACUAUGCCUAGCCCUAAACAUAAAUAGAAUGUCACAUCACUAUUCGCCCGGGUACUACGAGCAUUAGCUUGAAACCCAAAGGACUUGGCGGUGCUUCAGACCCCCCUAGAGGAGCCUGUUCCAGAACCGACACUCCCCGUUUAACCUCACCCUUCCUAGUUUUAACCGCCUAUAUACCGCCGUCGCAAGCUUACCCUGUGAAGGUCUUAUAGUGAGCAGAAUCGGCACAGCCCAGAACGUCAGGUCGAGGUGUAGCUUAUGGAGGGGGCAGCAAUGGGCUACAUUCCCUGUAACCAGGGAAUUACGGAUAACGCGUUGAAAUACGUGUUUGAAGGAGGAUUUAGCAGUAAGCAGCAAGCAGAGAGUCCUGCUGAAGCCGGCUAUGAAGCGUGUACACACCGCCCGU